GGACAGAUAGCUUAAUGGCAAAGCGACUUCUUAUAAGAUGCACAUGAUAUAGGUUCGAUUCCUAUUCUGUCCA
RNAcentral lists this transfer RNA (73 nucleotides) under Peptostreptococcaceae bacterium. Its description in RNAcentral is "tRNA-OTHER". It matches the Rfam family "tRNA". Rfam says of the family: Transfer RNA (tRNA) molecules are approximately 80 nucleotides in length. Their secondary structure includes four short double-helical elements and three loops (D, anti-codon, and T loops). The record is from RNAcentral. Lineage: Bacteria; Bacillati; Bacillota; Clostridia; Peptostreptococcales; Peptostreptococcaceae.